RNAcentral lists this transfer RNA (73 nucleotides) under Spirodela intermedia. RNAcentral's name for it is "tRNA-Thr". It matches the Rfam family "tRNA". Rfam says of the family: Transfer RNA (tRNA) molecules are approximately 80 nucleotides in length. Their secondary structure includes four short double-helical elements and three loops (D, anti-codon, and T loops). The record is from RNAcentral. Lineage: Eukaryota; Viridiplantae; Streptophyta; Magnoliopsida; Alismatales; Araceae.
GCCGGUGUAGCUCAGUUGGUAGAGCGGUUCAUUCGUAAUGAAAAGGUCGGGGGUUCGAUUCCCUUCUCCGGCA